Molecule: ribosomal RNA, 920 nt
Filed under: uncultured Bacillota bacterium
Lineage: Bacteria; Bacillati; Bacillota
Description: bacterial SSU rRNA
Rfam family: Bacterial small subunit ribosomal RNA
Source: RNAcentral
UGGAUCCAGACUUUGAUCAUGGCUCAGGACGAACGCUGGCGGCGUGCCUAACACAUGCAAGUCGAACGAAGCUUGACGGUAGAUUUCUUCGGAAUGAAGCCUGAUAUGACUUAGUGGCGGACGGGUGAGUAACACGUGAGCAACCUGCCUUUCAGAGAGGAAUAACGGCUGGAAACGGUCGCUAAUACCUCAUAAUGUAUAUUUAAGGCAUCUUAGAUAUACCAAAGAUUUAUCGCUGAAAGAUGGGCUCGCGUCUGAUUAGAUAGUUGGUGAGGUAAUGGCUCACCAAGUCGACGAUCAGUAGCCGGACUGAGAGGUUGAACGGCCACAUUGGGACUGAGACACGGCCCAGACUCCUACGGGAGGCAGCAGUGGGGAAUAUUGCACAAUGGGCGCAAGCCUGAUGCAGCAACGCCGCGUGAGGGAAGACGGUUUUCGGAUUGUAAACCUUUGUCUUUGGUGAAGAAGAAAGUGACGGUAACCAAGGAGGAAGCCACGGCUAACUACGUGCCAGCAGCCGCGGUAAUACGUAGGUGGCAAGCGUUGCCCGGAAUUACUGGGUGUAAAGGGAGCGCAGGCGGGACUGCAAGUUGGAUGUGAAAUACCGAGGCUCAACCUCGGGGCUGCAUCCAAAACUGUAGUUCUUGAGUGAAGUAGAGGUAGGCGGAAUUCCGAGUGUAGCGGUGAAAUGCGUAGAUAUUCGGAGGAACACCAGUGGCGAAGGCGGCCUACUGGGCUUUAACUGACGCUGAGGCUCGAAAGUGUGGGGAGCAAACAGGAUUAGAUACCCUGGUAGUCCACACUGUAAACGAUGAUAGCUAGGUGUGGGGGGUCUGACCCCUUCCGUGCCGGAGUUAACGCAAUAAGCUAUCCACCUGGGGAGUACGGCCGCAAGGUUGCAACUCAAAUGAAUUGACGGA